RNAcentral lists this long non-coding RNA (495 nucleotides) under Mytilus galloprovincialis (Mediterranean mussel). Lineage: Eukaryota; Metazoa; Mollusca; Bivalvia; Mytilida; Mytilidae. The record is from RNAcentral.
GUUAUACAACUAUAAAAACAAAUUGAGUGCUGGUUUUUGUUACUUCUGUUUUUAUUUUUCGUUUUCUUUUUGUCUUACGGUUUAUGAAUAGAUAUAAAAAGAUGUGGUAUGAGUGCCAAUAAGAGAACUCUCUAUCAAAGUAACAAUUUGUAAAAGUAAAGCAUUAUAGGUUAAAGUACGGUCUUCUACAAGGAGCCUUGGCUCGCACCGAACAGCAAGCUAUUAAGGGUCCAAUAAAUGACUAGUGCAAAACCAUUCAAACGGGAAAACCAACGGUCUAAGUAUAUUUUAGAGUAAUUAUGAAUUAUCUUUUUUCAAACACUGAAUUAACUUAGGGAAUAAAUAUAGCGCAACAUAUCGAAUCAAACUUCCGACGGUCCACUUUUCCCCAUUUAGCUAAAAAAAAAAACCAACAACAUGUGCUUGUUAUCUCUUCUUUUGUAUCCAUUUAUAAAUCUUAUGCUCCUGAUUUUAUAAACUGUUACAACUGACAAG